RNAcentral lists this ribosomal RNA (202 nucleotides) under uncultured bacterium. RNAcentral describes it as "partial 16S ribosomal RNA". It matches the Rfam family "Bacterial small subunit ribosomal RNA", at positions 1299 to 1500 of the family's 1533-position model. The record is from RNAcentral.
UGCAGGCUGCAACUCGCCUGCAUGAAGUCGGAAUUGCUAGUAAUCGUAGGUCAGCAUACUACGGUGAAUACGUUCCCGGGCCUUGUACACACCGCCCGUCAAACCAUGAGAGUUGGCAACACCCGAAGUCGGUAGUCUAACCGCAAGGAGGACGCCGCCGAAGGUGGGGUUGAUGAUUAGGGUUAAGUCGUAACAAGGUAAC